Molecule: ribosomal RNA, 467 nt
Filed under: uncultured bacterium
Lineage: Bacteria
Description: partial 16S ribosomal RNA
Rfam family: Bacterial small subunit ribosomal RNA
Source: RNAcentral
GACGAACGCUGGCGGCGUGCUUAACACAUGCAAGUCGAACGGAAAGGCCCUGCUUUUGUGGGGUGCUCGAGUGGCGAACGGGUGAGUAACACGUGAGUAACCUGCCCUUGACUUUGGGAUAACUUCAGGAAACUGGGGCUAAUACCGGAUAGGAGCUCCUGCUGCAUGGUGGGGGUUGGAAAGUUUCGGCGGUUGGGGAUGGACUCGCGGCUUAUCAGCUUGUUGGUGGGGUAGUGGCUUACCAAGGCUUUGACGGGUAGCCGGCCUGAGAGGGUGACCGGCCACAUUGGGACUGAGAUACGGCCCAGACUCCUACGGGAGGCAGCAGUGGGGAAUAUUGCACAAUGGGCGGAAGCCUGAUGCAGCAACGCCGCGUGCGGGAUGACGGCCUUCGGGUUGUAAACCGCUUUCGCCUGUGACGAAGCGUGAGGGACGGUGAUGGGUAAAGAAGCACCGGCUAACUACGU